AUUGAACGCUGGCGGCAGGCCUAACACAUGCAAGUCGAACGGUAACAGGAAGCAGCUUGCUGCUUUGCUGACGAGUGGCGGACGGGUGAGUAAUGUCUGGGAAACUGCCCGAUGGAGGGGGAUAACUACUGGAAACGGUAGCUAAUACCGCAUAACGUCGCAAGACCAAAGAGGGGGACCUUAGGGCCUCUUGCCAUCGGAUGUGCCCAGAUGGGAUUAGCUAGUAGGUGGGGUAACGGCUCACCUAGGCGACGAUCCCUAGCUGGUCUGAGAGGAUGACCAGCCACACUGGAACUGAGACACGGUCCAGACUCCUACGGGAGGCAGCAGUGGGGAAUAUUGCACAAUGGGCGCAAGCCUGAUGCAGCCAUGCCGCGUGUAUGAAGAAGGCCUUCGGGUUGUAAAGUACUUUCAGCGGGGAGAAAGGGAGUAAAGUUAAUACCUUUGCUCAUUGACGUUACCCGCAGAAGAAGCACCGGCUAACUCCGUG
Molecule: ribosomal RNA, 490 nt
Filed under: uncultured bacterium
Lineage: Bacteria
Description: partial 16S ribosomal RNA
Rfam family: Bacterial small subunit ribosomal RNA
Source: RNAcentral